Molecule: long non-coding RNA, 807 nt
Filed under: Phoenix dactylifera (date palm)
Lineage: Eukaryota; Viridiplantae; Streptophyta; Magnoliopsida; Arecales; Arecaceae
Description: long non-coding RNA (PDAC_LNC011310)
Source: RNAcentral
AGAGAGAAAGAAUAUUAAAUGAAAAGUGAUCCUAAUACUCUCCAAUAUGUAUCAUCUGAAAUUUAAAUCUGAAAAUCUUUAUGAUACACCUUGAGGCUUGUUAUUUGGUUAAUAUAUCUUAUACAUAAAUCAUGAACCAAAUUGCAAUUCAAACAGUUGAUCUUAAGAGCCUCUAACUUAAUGAAAAAGGGGGAGAAUAAUGUUGAAUUUUCUUGAGUAUCUCUUGUGAACAAUAUUUUAAAAGUAGCUGCUACAUAUGAUAGAUUUAUAGUUUUUAAAAUCAGAAAAUCAGCUGUUUUGAAAAUUAUUUUUUUUAAAAAAUAUAUUCAUCUGUCUCUAUUAGAAAAUCUAUUUUGGAAUUCACUAAUGAGUUCUUAUUGGCUUGCUCUUUAGAGUUUCAAUCCUGUGCCAAUUUAUUUUUAUAUUAAAAUGUGUUUCUCUCUAAAGGAAUAAAGUCUUUAAAAGAGCUUUAAUAGAACCUUCAAAGCUUUGAAUUUUAUGUAUNNNNNNNNNNNNNNNNNNNNNNNNNNNNNNNNAUAUUUUGGUAUUUGUGCCCCAAUGCUCUUAUUAUCAUAAAAGAACUUUGAAGUCAUUAAGAAUUAAUGAUCCAACAUGAUGAUAUGUUUUUCAAGUAUAUAAGUUUUGAUCUUAUACUCUGAAAAUUAAUUAAAUUGCUCUCAUGUGGAUAAAAUACUUAAUAUAUUGGGCAAAAGAUCUUAAAUGAACAAGCUUUCAUACUUAUUAUUGAAGAGAGGUUAGAUUUCCAUUCGUGCUUUCCUUGAAUAUCAUUUGUGGUACUUCUUGANN